This 299-nucleotide signal recognition particle RNA is filed under the name Chelydra serpentina (North American snapping turtle). Its description in RNAcentral is "Metazoan signal recognition particle RNA (ENSCSRG00000010439.1)". It matches the Rfam family "Metazoan signal recognition particle RNA". Rfam says of the family: The signal recognition particle (SRP) is a universally conserved ribonucleoprotein. Lineage: Eukaryota; Metazoa; Chordata; Testudines; Chelydridae. The record is from Rfam by way of RNAcentral.
GCCGGGCCCGUGGCUGGUGCCUGUGAUCCUAGCGGCGGGGGAGGCUGAGGCCGGCGGAUCGCUUGAGCUCAGGAGUUCUGGGCUGCAGCGGGCUGUGCCGAGCGGGUGUCCGCGCUAAGUUUGGCAUCGAUAUGGGGAUCCCGGGGAAGCUCGGGGUCCCCAGCUUGCCUAAGGAGGGGUGAACCGGCCCAGGUCGGAAACGGAGCAGGUCAAAGCUCCCGUGCCGAUCAGUAGUGGGAUCGCGCCUGUGAAUGGCCCCUGCAGCGUAGCCUGGGCGAGACAGUGAGACCCGGUCUCUU